CCUACGGGUGGCAGCAGUGGGGAAUAUUGCACAAUGGGCGCAAGCCUGAUGCAGCCAUGCCGCGUGUGUGAAGAAGGCCUUCGGGUUGUAAAGCACUUUCAGCGGGGAGGGAGGCGGUGAGGUUAAUAACCUCAUCGAUUGACGUUACCCGCAGAAGAAGCACCGGCUAACUCCGUGCCAGCAGCCGCGGUAAUACGGAGGGUGCAAGCGUUAAUCGGAAUUACUGGGCGUAAAGCGCACGCAGGCGGUCUGUCAAGUCGGAUGUGAAAUCCCCGGGCUCAACCUGGGAACUGCAUUCGAAACUGGCAGGCUAGAGUCUUGUAGAGGGGGGUAGAAUUCCAGGUGUAGCGGUGAAAUGCGUAGAGAUCCGGAGGAAUACCGGUGGCGAAGGCGGCCCCCUGGACAAAGACUGACGCUCAGGUGCGAAAGCGUGGGGAGCAAACAGGAUUAGAUACCCUAGUAGUC
RNAcentral lists this ribosomal RNA (465 nucleotides) under uncultured Klebsiella sp. RNAcentral's name for it is "bacterial SSU rRNA". It matches the Rfam family "Bacterial small subunit ribosomal RNA", at positions 338 to 795 of the family's 1533-position model. Lineage: Bacteria; Pseudomonadati; Pseudomonadota; Gammaproteobacteria; Enterobacterales; Enterobacteriaceae. The record is from RNAcentral.